Molecule: ribosomal RNA, 706 nt
Filed under: Pythium aphanidermatum
Lineage: Eukaryota; Oomycota; Peronosporomycetes; Pythiales; Pythiaceae
Description: eukaryotic LSU rRNA
Rfam family: Eukaryotic large subunit ribosomal RNA
Source: RNAcentral
UAGUAACGGCGAGUGAAGCGGGAUGAGCUCAAGCUUAAAAUCUCUGUGUCAGUUUGGCAUGGCGAAUUGUAGUCUAUGGAGGCGCUGUCAGUGCGACUAUUCGGGGUAAGUUCCUUGGAAGAGGACAGCAUCGAGGGUGAUACUCCCGUAUGUACCUGUGUAGUUGCGCGUACGACACGUUUUCUUUGAGUCGCGUUGUUUGGGAAUGCAGCGCAAAGUAGGUGGUAAAUUCCAUCUAAAGCUAAAUAUUGGUGCGAGACCGAUAGCGAACAAGUACCGUGAGGGAAAGAUGAAAAGAACUUUGAAAAGAGAGUUAAAGAGUACCUGAAACUGCUGAAAGGGAACCGAAUCGUUUCCAGUGUCUAUAAUCUAUGGCAUAUUUCAUUGGCGCGUGGAUGUGUGUAGCGUUUUGGAAGUAGGUUUCUGCUCCUGGCGUUGCUUUGCGUUCGCUUGCUGGUGCCCUGUGCUGUAGUGGGACGUCAGAGUCAGUUCGUAUGUUGCGGGAAAUGGUUAUUGGGGAGGUAGGUCGCUUCGGUGGCUGUUAUAUCCUGGUAACUAGUCGUCGUGGCUGGGACUGAGGUGCCUACAAUGUGCUUUCGAGUCUGCGGGCCUCUCGUUUGGCUGUUUGCUUUGAUAGCUUGCUAUGUUAGUGAACGUGUCAGGCGAUUGAGACCUGUAGUAACUUGUUGCCGUUCGGGACUUUGAC